This 22-nucleotide non-coding RNA is filed under the name Arabidopsis thaliana (thale cress). The record is from RNAcentral. Lineage: Eukaryota; Viridiplantae; Streptophyta; Magnoliopsida; Brassicales; Brassicaceae.
UAAACAUGCUCAAGUACACGGG